Long non-coding RNA from Sebastes umbrosus (honeycomb rockfish), 858 nucleotides. RefSeq lists it as uncharacterized. The record is from RefSeq and is a predicted model, not a curated record. The transcript has 5 exons. NCBI's taxonomy places the organism in Eukaryota, Metazoa, Chordata, Actinopteri, Perciformes, Sebastidae.
UGGUCCGCCCACUCUGAACAGGUGGUCUGGUGCUGCUAAUCAGCACUCUCACAGUUGUUUGCCACACAUCUCGUGCUUGUGAGACAAGAAGUGAAAAGAAAAUAGAUAAAAUAACGAGAAACCACACAAGUUUAAUGGGUGAAAUCAUUGAUUUGGCUAAAAUAGCUGAAUCUGUGGAGCAGUUACCAGAAACAAACAAGCCAGAAGUGUCCCGUCCACCUGUUGGUUACCAUGGCUGUUUCACCUCACAGAGCUACUGGACUGACAUGUGUGAAAAUGUUGAAAGCAGACCCGCCAGGCCUUUAAGAUUGAGAAAAACAAAUAGCAUAAUUCAGGAGAAAGUCCCCACAACUCCAGGCUGUUGGACUUCACUAAGCUUUUUUUUUUUUUUUCUGUAAUUUGGAUAUAUCUGAAAGGACAGCCACACAGACAGGGAGAGACAGACGGAGAAAAGGAAGGUGUAACACGUUCAAGGAGGACUGACUGUUGGAAGAAUGUGAUUAAAUACCAAGAACUCUUGCUGCAGACUUUCUCCCUUCUGCUCUCCCGCCUCCUUCUCCUUGAGUUGGGCCUAUUUCCUCUCAUCUCGUACUUCAGUAUAAAUGAUGUUGACCCUGGGAAGAACACCUGAGGGAUUCAGUCUCUAAACAGCCCUUACAGGCAAGAUGAAUGGCGAGGCAGCCGGCACCCACCUGGGCACCAUAUUGUUUCAGGCGCUUGAGGUCUGAUACCUGCUCCACCCACCUGCACAACCUUCUGCGCUUGAAUAUCGACAAUCAGGAGUCGGCUCAGGAGGGGCUGGGUCACGUAGAUGUACUUAUCCCUGAUGUUGACUGCUGAGGACCACACGCAGUGCUG